This 377-nucleotide ribosomal RNA is filed under the name uncultured organism. Its description in RNAcentral is "partial 16S ribosomal RNA". It matches the Rfam family "Bacterial small subunit ribosomal RNA", at positions 527 to 896 of the family's 1533-position model. The record is from RNAcentral.
GUAGGGUGCAAGCGUUAUCCGGAAUCAUUGGGCGUAAAGAGCUCGUAGGCGGUUCAGCAAGUCGGCUGUGAAAUCCCGAGGCUUAACCUCGGAACUGCAGUCGAUACUGCUGUGACUAGAGUCCGGUAGAGGAGAAUGGAAUUCCCGGUGUAGCGGUGAAAUGCGCAGAUAUCGGGAGGAACACCAGUAGCGAAGGCGGUUCUCUGGGCCGGUACUGACGCUGAGGAGCGAAAGCGUGGGGGUAGCAAAAAGGAUUAGAUACCCUGGUAGUCCACGCCGUAAACGUUGGACACUAGGUGUGGCGUUCCGACCAACGGGUGCCGUGCCGAAGCUAACGCAUUAAGUGUCCCCGCCUGGGGAGUACGGCCGCAAGGCUA